Molecule: ribosomal RNA, 419 nt
Filed under: bacterium
Lineage: Bacteria
Description: partial 16S ribosomal RNA
Rfam family: Bacterial small subunit ribosomal RNA
Source: RNAcentral
UGGGGGAUAUUGCACAAUGGGCGAAAGCCUGAUGCAGCGACGCCGCGUGGGGGAUGAAGGCCUUCGGGUUGUAAACUUCUUUUGCUCUGAACAAGGCGCACCAUGGGGUGUGUUGAGUGUAGGGGUUGAUUAGCGCCGGCUAACUACGUGCCAGCAGCCGCGGUAAUACGUAGGGCGCGAGCGUUGUCCUGAAUUAUUGGGCGUAAAGGGCUUGUAGGUGGCUGGUUGCGUCUGUCGUGAAAGCUCAUGGCUUAACUGUGGGUUUGCGGUGGGUACGGGCUGGCUUGAGUGCAGUAGGGGAGGCUGGAAUUCCUGGUGUAGCGGUGGAAUGCGCAGAUAUCAGGAGGAAUACCGGUGGCGAAGGCGGGUCUCUGGGCUGUUACUGACACUGAGGAGCGAAAGCAUGGGGAGCGAACAGG